UCCAGUUUGCAGACCAUAUUU
Molecule: non-coding RNA, 21 nt
Filed under: Caenorhabditis elegans
Lineage: Eukaryota; Metazoa; Nematoda; Chromadorea; Rhabditida; Rhabditidae
Source: RNAcentral